AGCUGCCUCCUGCUCACCUUGAGUCCUCCAGGGCAGGAAUGAGGAAUACCUUUAACCAAGACAGCUGCCUGGCAGCUGGGACAGGUACAGGAAAUUGGCUUCCACGGAAGUGCCGGGACACGUGGGAACAAUGACCAUAUCAGCACUCGCUGUACUCAACCCCAAACUCUCGGCUUCUCCGCUGAAAAGAAGGUUUGAGCUCUGGCAUCAGGGCCAAAGGUUCCAGGUUCUAAGUCCACCCCUGGCGUUAGCCUAGGGUGCCAUCUUGAAGGAGUUGUGUGACUCUCCGGAACUUGGCACCUGCGUAUUCGCCCUACAGUGGCCUUCGCCUCUCAGUUUCUGUCUGCCCCUCCCCCCAGGAUGAGCGUGCCGAGCUGGACUUUAACCACCCGUGUUAUUUCUAACCUCCAGGCCACCCAGAGCCUGUGGGUGUCACGUGACUUCCCACGCUGAGCACACCCCCAAAGAAAGACAAGGCAGGCCUUGUCAGAGACGGAAGCUUUCUCAAAAUCAUGUUGUAAGGAAUGGUGGGCCAGCAAGGCAGCUCAGAGGGUAAGGCUGAAGCCGAAGCCGAGGCUGGUGACCUGAGCUCACUCCCCAGGACCUACACGGUGGGAGGAGGGAACUGAGUCCCGUGAGUUGUCCUCUGACCCCCACACACAGGAUGCGGCACGUCCACCUCCAUCCUCCAAAAUAAAGAAAUGUACCGAU
Molecule: long non-coding RNA, 711 nt
Organism: Peromyscus leucopus (white-footed mouse)
Lineage: Eukaryota; Metazoa; Chordata; Mammalia; Rodentia; Cricetidae
Exons: 2
Source: RefSeq, a predicted model, not a curated record